UACGUAGGUGGCAAGCGUUAUCCGGAAUUAUUGGGCGUAAAGCGCUCGCAGGCGGUUUCUUAAGUCUGAUGUGAAAGCCCACGGCUCAACCGUGGAGGGUCAUUGGAAACUGGUGACUUGAGUACAGAAGAGAAGAGUGGAAUUCCACGUGUAGCGGUGAAAUGCGUAGAGAUGUGGAGGAACACCAGUGGCGAAGGCGACUCUUUGGUCUGUAACUGACGCUGAGGCGCGAAAGCGUGGGGAGCAAACAGG
Molecule: ribosomal RNA, 252 nt
Filed under: uncultured bacterium
Lineage: Bacteria
Description: partial 16S ribosomal RNA
Rfam family: Bacterial small subunit ribosomal RNA
Source: RNAcentral